AACGAACGCUGGCGGCAUGCCUAACACAUGCAAGUCGAACGAGACCUUCGGGUCUAGUGGCGCACGGGUGCGUAACGCGUGGGAACCUGCCCUUAGGUUCGGAAUAACUCCCCGAAAGGGGUGCUAAUACCGGAUAAUGUCUUCGGACCAAAGAUUUCUCGCCUUUGGAUGGGCCCGGGUUGGAUUAGCUAGUUGGUAGGGUAAAAGCCUACCAAGGCGACGAUCCAUAGCUGGUCUGAGAGGAUGAUCAGCCACACUGGGACUGAGACACGGCCCAGACUCCUACGGGAGGCAGCAGUGGGUAAUAUUGGACGAGGGGCGAAAGCCUGAUCCAGCAAUGCGGCGUGAGUGAUGAAGGCCUUAGGGUUGUAAAGCCCUUUUACCCGGGAUGAUAAUGACGGUACCGGGAGAAUAAGCACCGGCUAACUCCGUG
Molecule: ribosomal RNA, 433 nt
Filed under: uncultured bacterium
Lineage: Bacteria
Description: partial 16S ribosomal RNA
Rfam family: Bacterial small subunit ribosomal RNA
Source: RNAcentral